RNAcentral lists this transfer RNA (75 nucleotides) under Phallusia fumigata. RNAcentral's name for it is "transfer RNA-Ala". Lineage: Eukaryota; Metazoa; Chordata; Ascidiacea; Phlebobranchia; Ascidiidae. The record is from RNAcentral.
AAAACUUGAGUUUCACAAAAUACCUCCCUUGCAUGGAGGAGAUACACUGGUAGAUAACAUCCAGUUUAAGUUUUA